Molecule: ribosomal RNA, 472 nt
Filed under: Lactobacillus sp. F1
Lineage: Bacteria; Bacillati; Bacillota; Bacilli; Lactobacillales; Lactobacillaceae
Description: bacterial SSU rRNA
Rfam family: Bacterial small subunit ribosomal RNA
Source: RNAcentral
CGUGCCUAAUACAUNGCAAAUCGAACGAACUCUGGUAUAGAUUGGUGCUUGCAUCAUGAUUUUACAUUUGAGUGAGUGGCGAACUGGUGAGUAACACGUGGGAAACCUGCCCAGAAGCGGGGGAUAACACCUGGAAACAGAUGCUAAUACCGCAUAACAACUUGGACCGCAUGGUCCGAGCUUGAAAGAUGGCUUCGGCUAUCACUUUUGGAUGGUGCCCGCGGCGUAUUAGCUAGAUGGUGGGGUAACGGCUCACCAUGGCAAUGAUACGUAGCCGACCUGAGAGGGUAAUCGGCCACAUUGGGACUGAGACACGGCCCAAACUCCUACGGGAGGCAGCAGUAGGGAAUCUUCCACAAUGGACGAAAGUCUGAUGGAGCAACGCCGCGUGAGUGAAGAAGGGUUUCGGCUCGUAAAAUCUCUGUUGUUAAAGAAGAACAUAUCUGAGAGAACUGUUAAGGUAUGACGUAUU